GAGGGUAUAGCUCAAGUGGUACAGUACAUGUCUAGCAUGCACAAGGCCCUGGGUUCAAUCCCCAGUACCUCCA
This 73-nucleotide transfer RNA is filed under the name Camelus bactrianus (Bactrian camel). It matches the Rfam family "tRNA". Rfam says of the family: Transfer RNA (tRNA) molecules are approximately 80 nucleotides in length. The record is from Rfam by way of RNAcentral. RNAcentral also lists the same sequence under 1 other name. Lineage: Eukaryota; Metazoa; Chordata; Mammalia; Artiodactyla; Camelidae.